RNAcentral lists this small RNA (618 nucleotides) under Pongo abelii (Sumatran orangutan). RNAcentral's name for it is "retained intron". Lineage: Eukaryota; Metazoa; Chordata; Mammalia; Primates; Hominidae. The record is from RNAcentral.
UCCCGGCUCCCGGGGCUGAGGUGGAGCCGGGGGACGCCGGCAGGGCUGUGGCGCAGCAGUCUCCUUCCUGCGUGCGCGCCUGAAGUCGGCGUGGGCAUUUGAGGAAGCUGGGAUACAGCAUUUAAUGAAAAAUUUAUGCUUAAGAAGUAAAAAUGGCAGGCUUCCUAGAUAAUUUUCGUUGGCCAGAAUGUGAAUGUAUUGACUGGAGUGAGAGAAGAAAUGCUGUGGCGUCUGUUGUCGCAGGUAUAUUGGUAAGUGAGAAAGACUGGUUGGUGGCAUUUAUCCCUUACCUUUUGCCCUGGAAAUUAAUGCCGGUUCCUUUGAACUGAGAAUGGCUUUCCAGAACUAUUUAUUUCACUGCUGUUUUGUAUAGAUAAUUAUCAGAGUUCUAGAUACUAUUGCCAAGCAGAAUAUGAUAGGCCCUGGAUUCAUUUUGACUUUGUAAACAUGUACUUAAUAUCUUUUCUUCAGUUCCAGUGAUAAUAUAAUUAUUAUAGGCAAUAGCAUUUUUAACUUACUGAUACAACAUAUAUAUAAGUACUUUAAGAUCCUUAAAGGCUCAGAAUUUGAUGUAACCCAAAAUUAUUGUUGUGACUUAUUGAAGGUCAGACAACAGUG